GGAGCAUGUGGUUUAAUUCGAAGCAACGCGAAGAACCUUACCAGGUCUUGACAUCCUUUGACCACUCUAGAGAUAGAGCUUUCCCUUCGGGGACAAAGUGACAGGUGGUGCAUGGUUGUCGUCAGCUCGUGUCGUGAGAUGUUGGGUUAAGUCCCGCAACGAGCGCAACCCUUAUUGUUAGUUGCCAUCAUUUAGUUGGGCACUCUAGCAAGACUGCCGGUGACAAACCGGAGGAAGGUGGGGAUGACGUCAAAUCAUCAUGCCCCUUAUGACCUGGGCUACACACGUGCUACAAUGGACGGUACAAUGAGUUGCGAGACCGCGAGGUUUAGCUAAUCUCUUAAAGCCGUUCUCAGUUCGGAUUGUAGGCUGCAACUCGCCUACANNAAGCCGGAAUCGC
RNAcentral lists this ribosomal RNA (400 nucleotides) under Vagococcus sp. AZTITEMP266. RNAcentral's name for it is "bacterial SSU rRNA". It matches the Rfam family "Bacterial small subunit ribosomal RNA", at positions 934 to 1335 of the family's 1533-position model. Lineage: Bacteria; Bacillati; Bacillota; Bacilli; Lactobacillales; Enterococcaceae. The record is from RNAcentral.